CCCUGUAUUCGAAAGUGAUCGUGGGCUGCCCGUGCCCUGGUCAUUGAUAGUGCAGGGAGAGAAAACGCUGAAAGCAUUUCCCCGUGUUUGGAGGGUCCACUUUGUCCCUUUACAAACUCUGGAGCUUUCCCACA
RNAcentral lists this small nucleolar RNA (134 nucleotides) under Carlito syrichta (Philippine tarsier). RNAcentral describes it as "Small nucleolar RNA SNORA71 (ENSTSYG00000034590.1)". It matches the Rfam family "Small nucleolar RNA SNORA71". From Rfam's summary of the family: The members of this family belong to the H/ACA class of snoRNAs which bind a number of proteins (including dyskerin, Gar1p and Nop10p) to form snoRNP complexes. This class of snoRNAs are thought to guide the sites of modification of uridines to pseudouridines by forming direct base pairing interactions with substrate RNAs. This family includes U71 (SNORA71), ACA39 (SNORA39) and ACA60 (SNORA60). The record is from Rfam by way of RNAcentral. Lineage: Eukaryota; Metazoa; Chordata; Mammalia; Primates; Tarsiidae.